GGAAGGAUCAUUACAAGAAUCCUAUAAAACACCUUAUAAUCGUUAAAGUCUCUGCCAACGGCGGGCCUCGGCUUGGUUAACUCCUCGCCUUGGCCUGCCGCGGCGAGGUAAACUCCUCGCCCGCGGCUUGUUCACAGCUUGGUUAACUCCUCGCCGUGGCUUGCCGCAGGCUUGGUAAACUCCUCGCCGUGGCCUGCCGCGGGCUUGGUUAACUCCUAGCCGGCGGCUGGGCCGUUGUCAAAAAACUUUGGCGGGCGCUCCUUCGGGCGCGCCCUCCACAGUUUUAUGAAAGAAUACCUCUUCAAGAAACAUGUCCACGAACAAAACCCAAUAAACUAUUUGAAAGGGCGGGCCCUGAAAAGCCUUCUCUCUCAAUAUAAUUUAUUAUUUACACGACUUCCAACAAUGGAUAUCUCGGCUCCCACUUCGAUGAAGAACGCAGCGAAAUGCGAUACGUAAUGCGAAUCGCAGAUAGCCGUGAGUCAUCGAAUCUUUGAAUGCAUCCUGCACCUGGGAAUUCUUCGGAACAACCCCAGGUACACUCGGAUGAGAGUGAUCAAAGCAUGUCAGGGGAAGGGAUGUGGCGGGGCCUUUGGUCCCGCCAUGCCCUCUUCCCUGGGGUUAUCCAACCCCGUACACUGAUUGACCGCGUCCCGCCGAACCCUUAAAUGGGAAGAAAGCUGGUCGGUCUAAAUAGUCGUCGGAUAAUCCGGACGAUCUGGAUUCUUGCCGCGCGCCUGCCUACCAAGGUGGCACUCCUCUGAUGAGGCGUACCCACCCUGACUCGGGAUUGAUGAACCCUUCGGGGAUCAACAAAAACGAGACCCAGGGAGGGAACGCCUGAUCUUUGGAAGCCUCCCAAAUCGGAAGACACGCGGGAAGAAAAAACCCAGGCCGCCCGUGACCCGACAACCCUUUCGGAGGGCGCUUAAAAUCGCCCUUCUGAAUAAAUUUGGGAGAUGCGAUGUAACCCUUUACCGGGCCACAUCUCAUCUCCCAGACUAUAAAUGCAUUCACCUCAUCUCGAGUGGGAAUACCCGCUGAAUUGAAGCAUCUUAAUAAGCGGAGGAAAAGAAAACAACCGUGAUUCCCUUAGUAACGGCGAGUGAACAGGGAAAAGCCCAAGCCUGAAAUCCCCACAGCCGCCCCGCCUGGCCUCGCGCCGGGCGGGGUUGCCUGCUGCGGGGAAUUGUGGCCUCACGACGCGCCCAAGGUCUAGUGCAGUCUCAACAGCUCCAAGACACCUGGAAAGGUGCAGCAUAGAGGGUGACACUCCCGUAGGGGCUGACUCUGAAAAGGGGAUGAGCGAGCACUUUUGGACCCACAGCGGGCGUUUUGUCGCAGAGUCGGGCUGCUUGAGAGUGCAGCCUGAAUCCGGGUGGUAUACUCCACCCAAGGCUAAAUACACGGUGGGAGACCGAUAGCGCACAAGUACCGCGAGGGAAAGAUGCAAAGAACUCUGAAUAGAGAGUUAAAAGAACUUGAAGUUGUUGGAAGAGAAGCGAUAGUCACCUGCGUAGAGCGGCGAUCGGGCAGGGGGUCUCCCCAUUUAUGGGGAUACACCGGUCUCCGGGAGGGCAACCUCCCGGUUCCACCCUGCCUCAGUUAGGUCGUCCAGCCGGUAUCAGUUGGGUGGGUGCGAUGCCCCCCGCGCGUUCGCUGCCGCCGACGCCCAGGCAACUGGGCGGCACAGGAUGGUGAGCAGACGCGCGGUGCCGGGCCCCGCGGUCCACCCGACUGAGGUAAUUCGAUGUGUCUUCUCCCCAUCCCGCCCCCGGGCGGGUGAAAGGAGACAGGGCGGGAGGCCCCGAACGGGCCCGCGCUGGGAGGAUAGAGGGGGUGUUGCUGCUCGGGCGUAAAAACCCGGGAAAGCGCACUCUGUCUGCCAUCCGGCGCGGGUCCGGUCGGGGCCCACCAGCCCGAAGGCCAAGGCACGGAGGAUACCGGUAAAGCAAGGUGCCUAUCGUCCCGUCUUGAAACACGGACCAAGGAGUUCGACAUGCAUGCGAGUGUGAGGGUGUGAAAAACCCGAACGCGAAACAAACGUGAAAAGCCUGGGACUCCGGGGCCAACCCCCCGGACGCACCAGGGACCUGCCCAGAGGGACUCGGGGGAGGGCCCCCGGCGGGCGCGGCGUGAAAAACCGCGGCCGUCGGGGACAUAAAAACCUCCCCUGCGCACCGAAACGGGCCAGAGUCAGAGCAUGCAUGUUGAGACCCGAAAGAUGGUGAACUAUGCCCGGGGAGGAUGAAGCCAGGGGAAACCCUGGUGGAAGUCCGCAGCGAUACUGACGUGCAAAUCGUUCGUCAGACCUGGGUAUAGGGGCGAAAGACCCAUCGAACCAUCUAGUAGCUGGUUCCCUC
Molecule: unclassified non-coding RNA, 2363 nt
Filed under: uncultured fungus
Lineage: Eukaryota; Fungi
Description: sequence contains 18S rRNA gene, ITS1, 5.8S rRNA gene, ITS2, 28S rRNA gene
Rfam family: Eukaryotic large subunit ribosomal RNA (bases 1014-2363)
Source: RNAcentral